Non-coding RNA from Boothiomyces macroporosus, 78 nucleotides. NCBI's taxonomy places the organism in Eukaryota, Fungi, Chytridiomycota, Chytridiomycetes, Rhizophydiales, Terramycetaceae. The record is from the annotation of a GenBank genome assembly.
UAAGGAGUGCCUGAAUGGUUAGGGAGCCGGCUGUAAACCGGUGCGUAAGCAAUGUAGGUUCGAAUCCUACCUCCUUCA